RNAcentral lists this ribosomal RNA (461 nucleotides) under uncultured bacterium. Its description in RNAcentral is "partial 16S ribosomal RNA". It matches the Rfam family "Bacterial small subunit ribosomal RNA", at positions 28 to 523 of the family's 1533-position model. The record is from RNAcentral.
GAUGAACGCUGGCGGCGUGCCUAAAACAUGCAAGUCGUGCAGCAGCGGGCCUUCGGGUGCCGGCGAGCGGCGGACGGGUGAGUAACGCGUAGGAACGUACCCCAAAGUGAGGGAUAAGCUCCGGAAACGGAGUCUAAUACCGCAUAUGCUCUUAGGAGUAAAGGAGUAAUCCGCUUUGGGAGCGGCCUGCGUCCGAUUAGUUUGUUGGUGAGGUAAUGGCUUACCAAGACGAUGAUCGGGAGCUGGUUUGAGAGGAUGAUCAGCCACACUGGGACUGAGACACGGCCCAGACUCCUACGGGAGGCAGCAGUUAGGAAUUUUCCACAAUGGGGGCAACCCUGAUGGAGCAACGCCGCGUGCAGGAAGACGGCCUUCGGGUUGUAAACUGCUUUUAAAAGUGAGGAUUAUGACGGUAACUUUAGAAUAAGGAUCGGCUAACUCCGUGCCAGCAGCCGCCGUAA